RNAcentral lists this ribosomal RNA (480 nucleotides) under Porphyromonas sp. oral taxon 275. RNAcentral describes it as "bacterial SSU rRNA". It matches the Rfam family "Bacterial small subunit ribosomal RNA", at positions 28 to 498 of the family's 1533-position model. The record is from RNAcentral. Lineage: Bacteria; Pseudomonadati; Bacteroidota; Bacteroidia; Bacteroidales; Porphyromonadaceae.
GAUGAACGCUAGCGAUAGGCUUAACAUAUGCAAGUCGAGGGGCAGCAUGGUCUUAGCUUGCUAAGACUGAUGGCGACCGGCGCACGGGUGCGUAACGCGUAUGCAACUUGCCUCACAGAGGGGGAUAACCCGUCGAAAGACGGACUAAUACCGCGUACACUUACAGGAGGGCAUCCUUCGGUAAGGAAAAGAAAUUCGCUGUGAGAUAGGCAUGCGUCCCAUUAGCUAGUUGGUGAGGUAACGGCUCACCAAGGCGACGAUGGGUAGGGGAACUGAGAGGUUGGACCCCCACACUGGUACUGAGACACGGACCAGACUCCUACGGGAGGCAGCAGUGAGGAAUAUUGGCCAAUGGGCGAGAGCCUGAACCAGCCAAGUCGCGUGAAGGAUGACUGUCUUAUGGAUUGUAAACUUCUUUUGUAGGGGAAUAAAGAACGGCACGUGUGCCGUAGUGAAUGACCCUACGAAUAAGCUCGCACC